This 253-nucleotide ribosomal RNA is filed under the name uncultured bacterium. Its description in RNAcentral is "partial 16S ribosomal RNA". It matches the Rfam family "Bacterial small subunit ribosomal RNA", at positions 524 to 776 of the family's 1533-position model. The record is from RNAcentral.
UACAGAGGUCUCAAGCGUUGUUCGGAAUUACUGGGCGUAAAGGGCGCGUAGGCGGGCUGCCAAGUCUGGGGUGAAAUUCCACGGCUCAACCGUGGAACUGCCUCGGAUACUGGCGGUCUCGAGGGAGGUAGGGGCGUGCGGAACUGUGGGUGGAGCGGUGAAAUGCGUUGAUAUCCACAGGAACUCCGGUGGCGAAAGCGGCGCGCUGGACCUCUUCUGACGCUGAGGCGCGAAAGCUAGGGGAGCAAACGGG